This is a long non-coding RNA of Linepithema humile (Argentine ant), 516 nucleotides long. RefSeq lists it as uncharacterized. NCBI's taxonomy places the organism in Eukaryota, Metazoa, Arthropoda, Insecta, Hymenoptera, Formicidae. The record is from RefSeq and is a predicted model, not a curated record.
AGUAGCGAAGGAACCUUCUGUAACAUUAGGAUCAUAAUCAUCAAAAGCAUUUGUUCCAUAAGCUUCAUCGAGAGCUCCCAGAAUCCCAGAUUACGUUCUCUACGACUAAUACUUGGUUCUCGCAGACGCUAAUAAAUAUAUGGCAUAUUUACGAGGAAUCAGCUGAUAGACCUACUUCCGCCAUCUGUACUCUGUAUUGCAAAUUACGUUUAGAAACAAACAGUGCAAUAUUGACAAGGACUCAAUGCUUGAUAAAACUGAUUACACACAAGAUAGAAGUAUUUUGAACUCAAACAUGUGCCAAAUGCGUCUAAAAUGUCAGGUCAUGUGAUAAGUGAUAUCUUAUACUUUAAUGCAAGCCUUGAUCUCAAUUGGACAGCAUUAUUGCACUUUAUGAAAACUUGAAGUUUGAUACUGUGUUCAAUAUGCUGAACGCAGCGUUAUUGUGAUUAAUAUGCAACUGACAAUACUUUUUCAAAAUAUGUAUUUCACUUCAAUUUAUUCAACUGAUGAAGA